RNAcentral lists this ribosomal RNA (113 nucleotides) under Acanthosepion pharaonis. Lineage: Eukaryota; Metazoa; Mollusca; Cephalopoda; Sepiida; Sepiidae. The record is from RNAcentral.
UUACGGCCAUAUCAGAUUGAAACGCUGGUUCUCAUACGAUCACCGAAUUUAAGCGACGUCGAGAAUGGUAAGUAGCUAGAUGGGUGAUCGCUUCGGAAGGCCGGGUGAUGUAA